This is a long non-coding RNA of Cercocebus atys (sooty mangabey), 4832 nucleotides long. RefSeq lists it as uncharacterized. NCBI's taxonomy places the organism in Eukaryota, Metazoa, Chordata, Mammalia, Primates, Cercopithecidae. The transcript is spliced from 2 exons. The record is from RefSeq and is a predicted model, not a curated record.
CAUGAUUUGUACUUACAUAUACACAUAGGUUCAGAAGAACUUACUAUCUAGUUGGCCUCUUCUCUGUUUCAUUAAAACAUCAGUUACCUUUGUUGGAUCACGAAGUGUGAGUCUCACCACCAUGCUGGUACCUUCAGCGAUUACCUGUGUUAUAAAUCUCAUGUUCCAUUCACAGUAGUAAGUGCCAAUAAGUAUCAGAAAUGUUGACAGCCAUAGUGCAGCUGAGUUUAGAAGCAACUAUGACAACAUAAGGAAGUGAGGGUAAAUCACGAGAACACCUAAGGUGGCCAGCUCCUUCACGUGUGCCUGGGACUUGCUUGGGUUUAGCACUGAAAACUCCCACAUCUAGGGAAACCCUCAGUCCCAGGCACAUACUCACUCUUUCCUUAAUAUCACUAGAGAAAAGGUAAGAACUUUCAAGGGCAUGAGGCUACCUUUAAGGGCAUCAGUCCCCAAAAUAUUUUUACAUCACUAGCUAAUGGCUAGUUCCUCCAAGCUUGCUAAAAGGCUAGGAAGUCCAGAAAUACCUUACUUAAAGGUGUUAACUUUAAGAAGAGUUGGCAGUAAUCAAGCAAAUUAGUGAGCAGUGUAUAAAAGCUCACUCUUGAAACCUGUUUUCAGACAUAUCUUCUAAAGGUUCUUCUAGCUUUGUCCGGUUCUAUAGUAUUUUACUGUAUUCUCUUUUUGCAAUUAAUCCAGUUUUGUAUGUCUUUUUUUUUUUUUUUUAGGUGAAAAUAUUCUAUGCCAACUGUUUUCCACAGUCUUGCAUUAUAUACUGAAACAAAGACUGCCAGCUGGAGAGACAGCCCUCUGAUUACAAAGGCCCAGAAUGUUACUUUUAACUGUGCUCCACCAGGAGGUCUGGCCUUGGGAAAAGAUGGUGAAAGUAAUAUUCUCAGAUAUGAACAUUUUUUAUUCUGCCUACAAUGCUGUGAUCUAGUUCAACAACUGCAGAACUGUUUUCAUCUUAAUCUCUGUAGUUUUUCUUUCUUUACUCUUUUGUAUAAAAGGUUAGUGGCACAGCUUCACUAUCACUAAUAAAAAGAUACAAGUAUGCCUUUAAAGUCAGGGUUGGAAAAGCAAAAAUGAGGAGUGAGGUUAAACUGGUCUAAGAAAGUACUAAUUUGGGUUCUGCAUUUUGUCAAACAGUGAAAGGUUUUUUAAAAAAUUCAAAACUCAUGCAUGUUACCUACUUGUUACGUGUGAAUUAUUUCUCACAAUUUUAAUUAAUCUGUGUGUAUAUCAGUUAUAUAAAGGAAUGGAUUUCCACAUUCUUAAAGCAGGAACCUAUAUUCACCAGAAAAGGACCCUAUUGUUUCUCACCAAAUUUUGUUUCAGCUUGAACAAUUCAACACUGGAAAUAGUAAGAGUGGCAAACAAAUGUUUUCUUACGGACUUACUGAGAAAAGAAAAACCUUACUGGAAGAACAAAGACUUAGUAAAAUUUCUAUUGCUACAGACAAAUGCUAAAAACCAACUUUAAAAUAACAGCAUUAUAAAGGGUAGAACUUAAUACAGAACCAGAAAUAUGGCAAGUUACCUAGUGAUUAACAUUGUAAAAUAGUCAAAAACUUCAAAGCCACAGAGAAAGGAAAACAAUUAUGAAAUGGAAAAUAUAUAAUAUUUAAGUAUUUUUAUAAUUCUAAAACUUCACUUUUGUCCUUAAAUCAAUAUAUUACGGAUUUCAUUGUUCAAUAAAUUACCAUCUUUAAUUAAAAAUAAGAAGUAAAUCAAAGAGCAUAUUUUGGAGCAACUAAGAGCUGUUACUUUUUGGAGGGUAAAAGAGUAUUUUUCUUGAAAAUUUUUUGAAGAAAAAUCUAAAAGCCCUCUAAUGUUGAGUUAAUAUAGCUUUCUGACCCCCAUCAUCAAUGGCAUUAUUCCUCCAAGGGACUCUUAACAUCUAAGCAACAGUGAAGUUCUGGGUCCAUUAUGGAUCUCAUGGCACCAAACCAACUGACACUGAAGUCAAGUUAAUAUACUCCAGCGAGAUCACCUGUGGGUCAAAGAUGGCCCAGAGAAUUUUGGAAAAUCCAUUUAUGUUGAGCAAAGCUCUGAAUCACCUUCAAUCAGGCUGUCAAAUACAGAAAAAUUUGGUCUUGUAGUAGUAUUUCCCAGGGUAACUUAAGCAACAAACUUACACCAGAGGAAGAAUUAAAGAGGCAGCAAUCUAGUAUUAUCAACAAAAACAACAAAGUUAACCCUAAUUUAGUACAUCCCAGAGUCCGCUGGAUGUAUAAUAAUUUAGUAACGGGGUAUAUGACAGAGCUUUCUUUGAUGAUAACGAAUUCUGGCUGUGAUUCUGUCACCAAGUUGCCAAAAAAUGGUAUACCAACUGAACUGCCAAAUGGCAGAUUAAGAAAAUUAAUGUAUUCCGAUGGUCUGUCCAUGAAAGGAAAAUGUAUACAGACAAAUUAAGAACAUUUUACCAAGAUCUGAGAUUCAAUGGAACAAUUGUUUUAACACUGUUAGAAUGACCCCAACUGUUAGUUUGUCGAUGAAUGUAUACAUAUAUAUAAAUUCAUACACACACAUUUCAUACUUAAAAAGACUGAGGCAGUUCUGCUAUAUAUAGUUAGCUACAAUAUCCAAGAUAAAACAAUUCCUACUCAAAAAAUUACAUGAACACACGAGAUAAGUUCUUAUCAUAAAUGCUCUCAUGAGGCUAUCUAGUAUAGCUCAUAUUUCCUGGUUCUAAGGCUCAAAACACAGGAAUUCCACUCCAAGAGAUAAUUUGCCCCUCAAUCCCCACAUACAAAGUGUAGUCUAAACAAACAAAAUGGUAAUAAAAAAUUGAAAAGGAAGAUAUAAAAAGAACUCAAUAGCAGGAUUCUGACUACCUCUGAAGACCACACACUAUCAUUAUUCCUGAUUGUCUUAAAUACAACAAUCCAACAUGCCCCAAGAUGGAAAUUUGGCAUCGUAGGGAAAACAUUGGCUAUGACUGUCAGAAAAGUUCGUAAUCUUAAACAUAAUUUAUGCCAUUUGCCAGUCACAAAGACAUUUACUGAACAGAAUUUUUGAGCCAUCUGUAAAAUUAAAAUGAUUGAAUCAAUUUGAAAAGCAAUCUUCAUGAUGAAGAAAUUAGGACUCUAGGUAUGAAAAGCACGUUCCUUUUUUGUUAAUAAAUUCAAAGGAGAGAAACAUUCUGAUAUAUACAGAUAAAAACAUGGCUAACAAGAAAGAGGGUAACCAGCAAGUACUACCUGGAUGUGUAAUGUCAGGAGGAAAGGAAGAAUAAAAUUCAGGUAAUUAAUAGAUUUAGCAAAGUAAAGUACAUGAAAGGAAGAAAUGUUUGAUAUGUCUAAAUAUCAAUGCCUUAGAUCAGAGUAAGAAAAAAAGUCAUUCAUUGUUCGUGUACACAGAUUAGAUAUCUAAAGAGAUACUUGGUGGGCAGGGGCUUGGGAUGGAGGGCGCAAAUUGGAAUGUUCAGCUUUUAAAGCAAAGACUGUACAUGAAGACAUAUUUUAAGUACAGUGAAGAUUGUCUUGUGUUACUUUAUAUCCCACCAUAAACCUAACCCCCAUCCUCAGACUAAGAGGGUAUCCAACGCUGAAUAAAUGCUGAAAAUAUUUAGUAGUUAAAGAAAAAAGAGAAGGAUCUUAAAGGUAUAUAUGGGAAGCUUUUGGAAGAGGUAGAGAAUCCAGUGGCGUAUAUAUUCUCUUCUAUUUGAUUUCAACUAGCAAGAGACUAAAAUUGAUGUUUGUUUUAUCUUCAAAGUCUUAGUUUUAAACUGACAAGGGCACGAAAAAAGUGAAAUUAAAAUAAUUUUAACAAAAGGGAAAGCGUUUGACAGUGUUUAAAAGACAGACAAAUCAAGCAAAACUGAAUGUGGCUUAAGGUAAAAAAUACAACUAGGUAUUAAACAAUUUGUAAAACCUUACAAAGAAAAUUUAACUUUCAAGAAAAAUUAGGUAGUCCUUCUGGCAGUGACAGGUCCUGAGGGAAAAAACAUAACCUCUACAAGACCAAGCACAGCUCAAGGGUCAGGGCCCCAUCCUAGUCAUCUUUUUAUUAUUCAAUAUCUACCACAGUGGCUGGGCAAACAACAGGCAUCAAUAAAUGGUUACUGACUGAAUGUGUAUUAUAAGGUAUCAUCAGUAUAACCGAUAUAGCUCAAAUCUAAUCAUGAAAGCUUCGUUAAAGUAGGAUAAAAAGAGCACAAUCAGUGGUAUUCCAGAAGGUAGGCCUAAAUCCAAUUAUAUUUUCUAAUCUCAACCAGUGGCUAUAAAGACUUUCUGAGCUUCUUUUUAAAGCAAUGAAACUCUUUCCAAAAGAAACCCCACGCAGUACUUCAAUACAGAAUAAAGAUGCCACUGGCUAGACCAAAGUCAAUGGGAACUCCAACAGCCUCCCCUAAGCCAGCCCCCAAGGUGUCUCUGUGGAACCUACUGGAAAAACUACUGCUCAUCUUAAAAAUGUGAUAGAAAGCAUACUCAUUCAGUUCUGAGGUCAUCACACCUAGAAAAUUAUCAGUACUGUGAAGAACAAAUCCUAAGUAAUGUUGCAAAUUUAAAUAAAGACAAAAUUUCAACAAAGAGGAGAUUCUAUCACUUAGAAAAAUGAAAACCACACUUAUAAAUGUGGGGGAGGGGCAGAAAACAAAAAAAACUUAGGCCACAGUAGAUAAAAUACAAAAAACAUCAUCUCAUUAAAAAACAUUAAACAUAUUCACACAAAUGUAAUUACGACCAUGAAGUAAACUGCUCGACAGGUGUAACUGCUCAACAGGUGUUUUCAAAGAGUCCCAAUUUCACACUGUAUAGAAAAAUCGCACCAGAACUGUAGAGAUGUGCUCCACUAUUGAAAUAGCAUGUAGGCACGGCUUCACUUAA